Molecule: ribosomal RNA, 253 nt
Filed under: uncultured bacterium
Lineage: Bacteria
Description: partial 16S ribosomal RNA
Rfam family: Bacterial small subunit ribosomal RNA
Source: RNAcentral
UACAGAGGUCCCAAGCGUUGUUCGGAUUCACUGGGCGUAAAGGGUGCGUAGGCGGUCGGGUAAGUUUGAUGUGAAAUCUCCGAGCUUAACUCGGAAAUGGCAUUGAAUACUAUUCGGCUAGAGAGUCGGAGGGGGGACUGGAAUACUUGGUGUAGCAGUGAAAUGCGCAGAUAUCAGGAGGAACACCAAUUGCGAAGGCAGCCCGCUGGGACGUUACUGACGCUGAGACGCGAAAGCGUGGGGAGCAAACAGG